This 253-nucleotide ribosomal RNA is filed under the name uncultured archaeon. RNAcentral's name for it is "partial 16S ribosomal RNA". It matches the Rfam family "Archaeal small subunit ribosomal RNA", at positions 474 to 726 of the family's 1478-position model. The record is from RNAcentral.
UCCCAGCAGUCCGAGUCGUGGCCACAUUUAUUAGGUCUAAAACAUUCGUAGCUGGCUUUGUAAGUUCUUUGUGAAAUUGUUGCACUUAAUGCAACAGCGUGCAAGGGAGACUGCAGGGCUUGAGACUGGGAGACGCAAUGAGUACGUUCAAGGUAGCGGUAAAAUGUUUUAAUCUUGGGCGGACUGACAAUGGCGAAGGCACGUUGCGAGAACAGAUCUGACAGUGAGGAAUGAAGGCCCGGGGCGCAAAAUG